Molecule: long non-coding RNA, 959 nt
Filed under: Capra hircus (goat)
Lineage: Eukaryota; Metazoa; Chordata; Mammalia; Artiodactyla; Bovidae
Description: lncRNA (ENSCHIG00010019405.1)
Source: RNAcentral
GAUCCACCAGCCUAAGUCUGCCAAUUCCUUGUGCGGUAUUCUUUCCACAGCAGCACUGCCUUCCAAAGAGGAUGUCUGAGCUGCCAGGAUUAGGAGCAUUCUUCCCUUCUGUAUCCUCUGGAAAGAUGAACCUGGGACUUCUGCACAAGGGUCCUGCAGUGAGCCGGUGAGAGCAUUCCGGGGUAAACAGGACUCGUCCUAUCCCAGGAUCCUUCCAGUGGUGCCUGGGUCAGUAUCUAGAUGAGAUGGAGAGGGUAAGAAGGACCUGCUCUCCGAGGUCUGGACGAGGUAAGAUAUAGGGUUAGUACCGGGGCAGGGGGUGGGUGGGUGCAGGUAUGCAGGGCCUGUGAAGUGCUGUGUUCGGGGGCUUCAGUGACCUGGGGCUUUUUGGUUGGUUCCUGUCAGGGGAGGGGGGCACUCCUUCCUAAGGUGACAAGCCCACGAACUCCUUCCGUAGCCUCUGCCCUUUUGGGACCAGCAAUGACAAUGCACCUAAAGGCUCUUUGUUUUCUGCGUCUGGCUCUCAGCGUUCUUUCCCCAGGAGGUUUCUGCCCUUCAUGCUCCCAGAGAGCCAGGUGUGCCUUCCAGGAUGAAUACAGUGGCUCACCCCCUUGGGAGGCAUUUCAGCUGCACAAGCUGAUCAAAGAUGAAGAACCAGAGAAAGAAACAGAGGCUAAAAGAAACUGCAUAAUUUUCCUAUAAGUGAAGUAGCCAAGAUUCGAACUCAAGUGUUCUGCUUCCAGUUUUCCCAAGGUCAGCAUCUCUCUUGGCAUGAAGUCAAUGUAUUACGUACUGAAAAGAAUGUUCUGAAAAACAAUUCAGUCUGCCACAGAUUGUUGCAAGAAUUCUUACAGUCAUCAGUACUACACAGUAAGUGGAAUUUGUAGACCAAGGAUGACCCUCAUUCAGGGUCACUGGAGGUCAGUUCAUACAAACCACUUUCUGGGAAGAUCAAUAUU